GUUGGGCUUGGUGGUGCAUGCCUGUAGUCCUAGUGACUUGGGAGGCUGAGUCAGGAGGAUCACAAGUUCAACCAGUCUCAAAACCUCAGCAAGCCUUAAGCAAAUAGUGAGAUCCUGUCUCAA
This 123-nucleotide small RNA is filed under the name Marmota monax (woodchuck). The record is from RNAcentral. Lineage: Eukaryota; Metazoa; Chordata; Mammalia; Rodentia; Sciuridae.